This 1515-nucleotide long non-coding RNA is filed under the name Homo sapiens (human). Its description in RNAcentral is "HSALNT0354433". Lineage: Eukaryota; Metazoa; Chordata; Mammalia; Primates; Hominidae. The record is from RNAcentral.
ACAGUUUUGCAUUAAAUGAUAGGUAAAAACUAAAACUUUUAAUAACUGUUUCUUUUAUAUUUGUAGAUCUUGCUGUUUCUCUACAUAAAAAUCUAAUAUAAGCUGAUUUAGCACAAAAUAUGUGAAAUUAUAUAUAUUUUUAUUUCUUUUGUUAUUGUUUUUGUUAUUAUUAUUUUGAGACAGGCUGUCACUUUGUCACCCAGGCUUUUUCAUUUGAUUCUAAGACCAUACCUUUUAUAACUUAUACAUUUUCCUUUAUUAUAUAUUGAGGUUCUCUGAUCAGUCCAAUAACCUCAUUGUCUUAUAAUUUAAAGGUAUGGAAAAAUACUCAAAAGGUGUAUAGAGAACAAAGUUGGAAGACUGGCACUUUUCAAUUUCAAAACUUAAUACAAAGCUAAAUUAAUUAAGAUAGUGUGAGAGUAGAAAUACAGAUCAAUGGAACUGAAUCACGAGUCCAAAAAUGAACCCUUACAUUUAGGAUCAAUUGGUUUUCUACAGAAGUGCUAAAGCAGUUCAAUAGAGGAAAAAUAGUCCUUUCAAUAAACGUGCCGAACAACUGGAUUUCCACAUGGAAAAUAAUGCAAUUGGGCCUCUUCCUUAUACUACACACAAAAAUUAACUUAAAAUGCAUCGUAGACCUGAAUGUAACAGCUAAAACUAUAAAACUCUUAGAAGAAAACACAGGAAUAAAUAUUCAUGACUCUGAGAAAGGAAAAGCCUUCUUAGACAUGACACCAAAAGCUCAAGGAACAAAAGAAAAAUAGAUUAAUUGGGCUUCAUCAAAAUUUAAAACUUUCAUGCUUCAAAGAAUACCAUCAAGAAAGUGAAAGCCAGCCUGGGCAACAUAGUGAGACUCCAUCUCUACAAAAAAAAAAUACAUAAAAAUUAGCUGGGUAUGAUGGUGCAUGUCUGUGGUCCCAGCUACUUGGGAGGCUGAGGCAGGAGGUUGGCUUGAACCUGGGAGGUCAAGGCUGCAGUGAGCUGUCAUCACAUACUGCACUCCAGAUUGGGAGACAGAGUGAGACUGGUGAGACUGAGUCUCAAAAAAAAAAAAGGGCAAAAACAAAAACAGAAAGAAGGUUAAAGGCAAUUCACUGAAUAGGAAAAAAUAUUUGCAAGCCAUAUAGAGUUGGUCCUCAUUAUUAGUGGAUUUCAUAUUUGCAUAUUGUAAACUACUUGCUAAAAUUUUAUUUGUAACCUCAAACCAGUACUCACUAAGCUUUCCCUGGUCACUUGCAGACAUACAUGGAGCAGUAAAAAAGAUGCAGAUGUUCUCUGAGGCUGAAUAAGACCAUGCUCUGCCUUCUUGUUUCAACUGUUACACAGAGAUGACCAGAGGAUGGGGCCACUGCAGUGCAGUUCAAGAGGCUCUGGUUCGGGGAAGAGCUGGAUGGAGUAUGAAUCCCAACUCUGGGGGUAUUAGCUAGUGGAGUGGCCAUAGGCAAGUUACUUAACACUUCUGAACCUCCUUUUGUCUUUCAUAAAAUAAAAGCUACUAGGAUGAGUUGUUUUAAG